AAUGCACGAAAUAAAUCACUGGAUAA
RNAcentral lists this unclassified non-coding RNA (26 nucleotides) under Trypanoplasma borreli. RNAcentral describes it as "Cyb guide RNA". The record is from RNAcentral. Lineage: Eukaryota; Euglenozoa; Kinetoplastea; Parabodonida; Parabodonidae.